AAACAUCCAAAAAUAAUGCACCACAUAUAAUUCAUGUAAAGUUUAAUUUGAAUACCAUAUAAUAUCCAUUGAAGCUAAUUCAUACAUCAUCACAUCAUAUAAGGUCACCUUUAUUCACACAUAUAGAUAGACAAUAUAAUAUAAAAAAUGGAAUACAAAUCUCUUGGUUAGGAACUUCUGCACUAGAAUAAAUUACGAGUUUAACUCUUUUUCACAAGCUUCAUGUGGAAUGCCAUUUCAUUUUUCUUCUCCAUGUUGGUUUCAUGUGUUGCCUCCACUCUGCAAGUAAUACCAAUUGACACGUUGUUAAUAACUUAGUAUACAUGGUUGCAUGCACAUAACCAAAGCAACAGAGAAAAGUCACCAGGAGCUAAAAAAUUCUGAAUGCUUUCCUAUUUGCAUGCACAGUAGCUAAAAAGUCACCAACAACAGAGAAGUUUGCCUUCCUAGUUGACAGAGAUGCAAGAAGCACCAUAAAAUACUUGAGCUAACUUAACAAAAAACUAAGCCCUUUCCUAUUAGAUACUAGACGGCCAAAUACCUGUCCCUCGCAGCAAUUAAAAGUACACAAGCAUGAUAAAACUGAACAUAUAUCAUAAAACUGCUAUUACUAUUACAGAUCAGCUAAGAGAACAGCUAUUACUAUCACACAUAAACCUGAAUGCAUAGUAGUAACAACUAGGAGAGCAACUGUUACUACUACCCUAUGGAUGAUGCUUUGCAAUCUAGCAUACCCGUUCGGCAAAACUGCUAGAUGUUCUCCUAUCACAUAAAACUGCUAUUACUCUCUAGGUAAUUAUAAUUGAAGCAUAUAUCCAGUGCAGUGAAACUUGAUUCAGGUUGUAACUGAUUCAAUGAGCAAUGUAACAGAUUCAGGGUAUUUGAAACUUGAUGUAGCAUGCUACUUUAAACCCCCUGGUUGUCCAGUUUGAAAGAAAUAAAUAGACAAAAGAUGAUACAAGAAUGCUAUAAUAGAGACCACUGUUUUAAAAAGACUGAGAUAAUGCUAUUUAAAAAUUUAUUCAUUUGGGUUUCUAGAUCUCAAUUCUCAAGCAUGAUUCUAAACUAGCACAUCAGUUCACAGAAACUAAUAAGAAAGAAAUGCAGCAAUCUUUUCUAGGUACUGAUUCAAUGCAGCAAUUUUUAGAUAAUGUAACAAAAUUUCAUUGUACUUCAAUAUGUAGUCGUUGAUUAUUUGUGGUUUCAAACCUAAUUUUUUAGAUAAGAAUUGCGAUUAUCUAAUUUGCAGACUACAGUGAUACACCUAUUGAUCUUAAACCAUUCUCUCAAAGAAGCCGAACCAAACAGUCAGAACUGACAAGCUCCUAAAAAGUAUACGAAGUCAGUGCAGCAUCAAUUUUCAGUGAAGAAAUGCAAGAACUAGAGGGUGGUUCUCCUUUUGUCUACAAGUCAUUCUGAUCCAUUAAUACUGGCUACUGAUGAAACCAAGCAACUAAACCCCUUCUGAGGUUAGUUCAUUCAAACCUCCAAACAAUUGUUGAAUGCAGAUUUUUUGCAGUGAAUUUAUUAAAGAACCCAGUUCAAGUUCAACUGAACAAAAAAUGCAUCAAGAUGGACAGUUUAAAUAGAUCAAUCGAUGUAUUGUUCUAAACAAAAAAUAGGCAUCACUUAACUGAUCCAAAAACUGUGCCCCAAACUGAAACCAGCAACUUCCUCUUGGUUCAUGCAUAAAAAUUCAUCAGAUUUCACUAGGACUCUGGAACCCGCUAGGUGCGUGCAUUAGAGUUUAUGCAGUUCAUGAUAAAUCAUAGGAGAGUCGGCCUUGUACUCGGUAGGUGCAUACCUCACUAGCGUUGGGGUUCAAAUCUUGGAGGAGACGAUCUUGUACUGGAUCUUGGAGAAGACCAUGUACUGGGUCUUGGAGACAACAUUGUAUUGUACCUUCGAAGAACCGAAUAAUGGAGAAUGAAUUGAAACCCUAGGUAAGUACAUAAUUUACAAGGAGGAGCGAAGGUCUUACAUAGUGCCGCGGAAGACGGUGGUGGAGGACAGCAAACUGAGGCAGAGAUGGCGGUGAAUGACGACAAAUCCGAGACGGUGGCGGUGGUGGAGGGCACCGUCGCCUCACGUCUCGCUCACGACUGCUUCGGGGAAGGACGACGAUGGAGUAGCGGCAGAGCGGAUGGCAGCAAUGUGGACGACGAUGGAGCGGCGGCGGAGCGGAUGGUGGUGGCGACGGAGGGCGCGGACGCGCGGUCGCUUCGCUCGGAUCCGCUCGUGUCCCUUCCAAACUAGGGAAGCUUGCCCGACCUCGGGUGGCCGGGAGCGCUUCCACGGGUAUCCCUCCGUGUCGGGGGAGAACUGGACCAGGGUGUUUGUCUUCCAAAUGGGCCAAAAAGUAUGCCCGGGGUAGAUCUCCACGUGAGCUUUGGACCCGGGAAAAAGUAUGAUUUUCCCGCGAGGAAAUGGCCUUACAAACAAGCCCUUACGGGUUCGAGCACAAUUCGCUCAACACCACCGCCGUGCGGCGGGUCCGAAAC
This 2501-nucleotide long non-coding RNA is filed under the name Zea mays. Its description in RNAcentral is "long non-coding RNA (ZMAY_LNC005628)". Lineage: Eukaryota; Viridiplantae; Streptophyta; Magnoliopsida; Poales; Poaceae. The record is from RNAcentral.